RNAcentral lists this long non-coding RNA (1665 nucleotides) under Solanum tuberosum (potato). RNAcentral's name for it is "long non-coding RNA (STUB_LNC002589)". Lineage: Eukaryota; Viridiplantae; Streptophyta; Magnoliopsida; Solanales; Solanaceae. The record is from RNAcentral.
GCCGGAGGAAAUUAUAGAUUAAGGACAAAUCACAAGAAAUCUGAAGGAGAUAUUAUCUGAAAUCAAUGAAUGAAGUGGAAGAAGCAGGGCAAGUAGCGGAGAAAGCAAAGAUAAAUCCCAACAAAUAUCGAUGAAAGUGUGAGGAAUACACUUUUGCAUGCCUCCAUUACAUAUGGAGCAUCCUUCAGUGUCCCAUAUGAAGUUUAGGUGAGACUUCGUUCAAAUUCAUAUCAGCUGGAUGUUGUCAUUUUCCUGUAAGUAAAUAGGCAAUAACACAUGAUAAAGUAGAUAGAAAGGAUGAAGGUUGAUGAGAUAGUUGGGAGAGAUAAAGUCAGCCAUGUUUAACUGUCAAAGCUUCAUAAUGAUCUUUACCAAUACAUAAGCCGAUUAUACUAUAACAAAGGAAAGCAGGAGCAAGUAUAUCGAGGAAAACAGAAUUAAGGUGAAUAGGUUGUAACAGAACUGGAUAAGUCUCAAGCAAGUAUAUAUUAAUUGUAAUCCCAAUCAAACUUAAGCUUAUCCAAGUCUCAAUCAUCUUAUGCAAAACGUCGAAUGAAAGGGAUGCACAAUAUUUAACUUAACACUUUUAAAUCUUAGUUAUAUAAAGGAAUCAGAUACCAAAAUCAUAAGCUUGAAACGUAAGAUAAAAUGAGGGCUAUCUUAAAGUAAAACCAUAUAGAAAUUACUAAGCAACUAAUGUAAAUUCAAAUUGGUACAAACUUGUCACUAUUAUUUUGUUACAAAUGUAAUUCUCCAAGAAAACUAUUACUGAACACAUCAGUUAGCAUAUAUCACUAUAUAACACAUACAAAUAUUGCAGCUCUUACUUCUGUCAAGGUUUCACAGUUGCUUUAGUGAUUGUGCAAAAUAAUAUAGGCAAGUCCCUCAGUAAAUUAAAGCUCUUGCAGAAAGGAACAAACUCGGAAGAGAAGAAGUUGUCCAACAGAAUAGAGUUGAAGACAAAUCAGAAAUGAUGUUGCACCACAAAGAAUUCACACAACAAAAAUCAGAACAAUUCAAUUUAUGCCGAUGAAGUUAGCAGAGUCAAUGUAGACACGUUAGCAUCUGAAGCAAAAAUUGUACAAUCCAAAAGAUCUAAAAAACAAAAAUUAGCUCCUAAGACCUAAUAUCCGUUAUCUGUAAGUACCAUGACAACUGCAAGCUUUGUCAUAAAACUUAAUUUGUCUAAUAUCAAAAUUCAUGACAAUAACAUCGAUAAAUUAGCACAAAAAAAUGGCAAGAGAUUCAAGGAAAUAGUGGCAAGAGAUUGAAGGUGAGACAAAGAAAAGUCGAUCAAUCUGGAGAAGAAACGAAGGUAAAACCAAAACCAAAACACACAAUUACAUACAGAAUAAAGCGGCAGCCAGGUUUAGAGUUAGAUGGAGGCAGGUGGCUUAAGAAUUCAACACGUGUCAGACAUGGUUAAUGACAAAAAUACCCCUGGGAAGAAAGCUGGCAGGACAACGACCAGCUGCUUCCUUGGGCACUUCUAUAUAUAGAUAUAAACUCCUGCUACUUUACAUGAAUUUCACAAACUUGUGAACAUCAGGCAUGACGUAAAAGCAAGAAAUAUUUCCUAACCUUGACUGAUUCUGCAAAUAUGAACUUUUAGCUCCAUGUUGAUACUUAGUAAAAUAAGAAGAUAAGCUCAAGAGCAAUCAGUCA